Molecule: long non-coding RNA, 1849 nt
Filed under: Oncorhynchus mykiss (rainbow trout)
Lineage: Eukaryota; Metazoa; Chordata; Actinopteri; Salmoniformes; Salmonidae
Description: lncRNA (ENSOMYG00000051398.1)
Source: RNAcentral
AUCUAUAGUAUCAUCAUAUUGGUGUAGAGUGAAGUUCCCCCUAGACCACAGAUGUCAAAUUCCUUCCACAGAAGGCCAAGUGUCUGCGGGUUUUCACUCCUCCCUUGUCCUUGAUUGAUGAAUUAAGGUCCCCAAUUAGUAUGGAACUUUCCACACCUGGUGGUCUCGGGCUUAAUUUAAAGGUGAAAAUAGACCUUAGGUCCUCUACGGAAUGAGUUUGACACCCCUUGCCUAGAUGCUGAUCUUGGGGCAGUUUUGCAUUUUCCCCAAUAAUGGUUAGGAAUGGGGAGGGGAAGCCGAUCCUAGAUCUGUACCUAGGGGAAACCUCACCACAGAGCAAGUUAUUAUCAGCCAAUUUAAAUUCAUUGAAAUAUUGCCAUAUUGGAAGACAAAAUAUUAUGUCUUAUAAUAUAUGCAUGCCCAUAACAAGUUGAAUGCGUUAUACCUUUUGUUAUAUACCCAAUGUUAUAACAUUUUCUUCUGAGCAUAUAGAGCUGACAAACUCCAUCAUAAGUGAAUGAGGGUGAUGCCUACUCCACGAGCAGUACAAUACAGUGGAUCAAUGUACAAGAUCCAGGUACACAAAGCUCUAACCCAGAGCGUACUUUACAGUAUGAUCUGAGGAUCAUGAAAUCUGAAGGUGGGGCUUUGUAUUAAACUCAGUAUGGCUUCUCUUGCCCUCUGCAGGAGACACAAGGAAAAGCUCCGGGCACACUUCUUGGAGAGCCGGAAUCUGAGGGUGUGCAGUAUCAAUGCCUCUGGGUUCAUGUCUAAAUCCAGCCCAAGGCCUCAGUGUGGCUGGCAGCUUCAAAAGUGCUACAAAUCUCAUGGGUUCUCCCCUCCUCAAGGGUGCAGCAGUCUGUCAGCUGGCGCACCAACAGCAGCUCCACCGACUCUCAACAGAGCACUCCCCAAAGGGAAAAGCUUCAGGAGUAGCUCCCUGUCCCUCAGUCCAGCCCAAAGACACCAGGACACUCAUCACUUCAGGACCCUGCCAAUCUCUCGAGGACCAAGGGUUGCUGGCCCCGCCUAUAAGCACCUGCAAGAGGUAGAGUCUACCGAGAUGGAGGCGGAGUCUUUAAGAGGGUUUGACACUGGGAGGGAUGGUGGUGACGACCGCCAGCGGAGCGGGUUCCAGAAUAUGCAAACCCUAUCUCGUUCAGCGUGGAAGAAAGAUUGGAGGGAGGUGCCCUACACCCGUCUGGACAGAGGACUAAAACCUGCUCCUCCCUCUCUCCGCACACGAUCGGUCCCCAUCAUCCCCUCUCUCCAGGGACACGGCCGUGAGGGGGGUCACAUGGAUGAGACCAGGCAGGGGGUCUCGCAGGGAGGGGGUCUCGCUGGGCCAGGUCACAAGGCCCAAGGACCUGCCAGUGGCAGCAGCCACACACCCCGUCACUCAACCACCUCUUCCUCUGAGACUGUACUAGAAUCUGAGGCCAGAUCCAGUCAUGUGCGUCCCUGCGGCGUUAAGACUGUACUGAGGUUAGGGACAAGCCCUAGCCACAUGCACCAUGGCUCCUCUGAAACUCCAGUAGGGCCAGGGGGCUCGUUCCAACACUCUGGGACAGCAGCAUCCAGAUCAGGUGUUCCCAGGAUGAACAGCACAAACACUAUUAUUGCUGUGACCGUGCUGGAGUCCGAGGGAAAGAACAUGCGGUAUACACCCAGAUUGCUAUACAGCUGUCCCGGGAGCAGGGGUCCUCAGGCAGGAGGCCAAAGGGAGGCCCAGGGGCUCGGGGAACAAUACGCCCUCCCAUCCCUGAUGGAUGGAGGGGCAAACUGCCUCCUGACAGCAGUGGUGAGCAGAGGUGCUGGAAUUGAUUAUGCCAAAACGUCUGCCAGCUGA